RNAcentral lists this long non-coding RNA (798 nucleotides) under Ananas comosus (pineapple). RNAcentral describes it as "long non-coding RNA (ACOM_LNC006379)". The record is from RNAcentral. Lineage: Eukaryota; Viridiplantae; Streptophyta; Magnoliopsida; Poales; Bromeliaceae.
AGUAAGCCCACCAUCCCUGCAGCACAAAUUUCCCAAACACUUGGGAAUUACGAGUAGGCUUUGGAGAGGCUGAAACUUUGGCGGCUCUAACCUUCUUGCUUCAACUUUCGCGCAACCUGAAUACUAUGCAUAUAUUUUUGCAGCGACAACAGAGGCUACUCUGUACGUGACUGUUGCUGUUAAGUAUACACAGUAUCGUUUUGUUUGUUUUACCCUGUUAAUUAGUGGUCCUGUUGUACUUUCUGAAGUUAGCUCAAGGGGCCUUCUUAGGGAAAGCCGAGCUAGCUCUACUGUCUUAAGAUGUAUUCUCUGUUUCAAAUAGGGUAUAUCCCUGUUUAAUCAAAAAAAAAAAAAAUAUAUAUAUAUAUAUAUAUAUAUACAGUAUCGAAUAUUAAGCAGAACCUAAUCAUUUUCACUAAUUCUUAUUUCACCUCUAUUCUCAGGAUUUCCCAUCUUACUUCAUGAGUAAAGGGGGUUUCAGUCGAGGAGGGUACUAGGAUUCUCAUGGCUUGUCUCUUGAGCGGCUGCACGAAGUAACUUUCCAUGAAUUUUCAGGAAGUGGAUAUUAAAUCGACUUCUUGGUUUUCUUAGCCCGUGUUGGUACUGCAUUAGAGAAAAUCUGCAUCAAUAUAGACUCGACCGAUAAUAAAGAACAAAUUCGGCAGAAGAUUUUGCAAAUGGAAUGGCCCUCACGGUUAGCUGUCUGUCUUGCUUGAUAUAUAGUCUUGAAAUCAUUUGUGCAAUCUCUGGAUUUAGAUUUGCGCACGGAGUUUUCUUGCUGUCUUAAUGCUAAAUAAG